AGAGUUUGAUCCUGGCUCAGAUUGAACGCUGGCGGCAUGCCUUACACAUGCAAGUCGAACGGCAGCACGGGAGCAAUCCUGGUGGCGAGUGGCGAACGGGUGAGUAAUAUAUCGGAACGUGCCCAGUAGUGGGGGAUAGCC
RNAcentral lists this ribosomal RNA (141 nucleotides) under uncultured beta proteobacterium. Its description in RNAcentral is "partial 16S ribosomal RNA". It matches the Rfam family "Bacterial small subunit ribosomal RNA", at positions 8 to 148 of the family's 1533-position model. Lineage: Bacteria; Pseudomonadati; Pseudomonadota; Betaproteobacteria. The record is from RNAcentral.